This 48-nucleotide non-coding RNA is filed under the name Ctenophora environmental sample. Lineage: Eukaryota; Metazoa; Ctenophora. The record is from RNAcentral.
UUUUUUUUUUUUUUUUUUUUCCUUUUUUUUUCCUUUUUUCUUUCUUUU